AUGGUUGUUCUUGGGGAGCUUGGAGGAAGUGAUGAGUAUUUGCUCCUCGAAUCCUUGAAACAAGGAAAGGUUCAGAAACCUGUUGUUGCUUGGGUUAGUAGGACGUGUGCACGUCUGUUGAAAUCCGAGUCCAGUUUGGCCAUGCUAACAGUGUGCGAUGGUGGUGAGGUGGAAUCUGCACAAGCUAAGAAUCAGGCACUAAGAGAUGCUGGGGCUGUUGUUCCUACUUCAUUGGAAACUCUUGAAAGGAUUAAGGAGACAUUUCAGAAGUUGGUUGAGGAAGGAACAAUUCCUCCUGUCCCUGAGGUUACACCUCCCCCCAUUCCUGAGGAUCUUAAAAUUGCCAUUAAAAGUGGGAAGGUCCGAGCUGCAACGCGUUGA
This 381-nucleotide ribosomal RNA is filed under the name Triticum aestivum (bread wheat). Its description in RNAcentral is "partial small subunit ribosomal RNA". Lineage: Eukaryota; Viridiplantae; Streptophyta; Magnoliopsida; Poales; Poaceae. The record is from RNAcentral.